UAGAAGCUUAAAAGGACAAUAAGAUAUUAAAUUUAAAUAUUAAAUAAGAAACUACAAUGAGUCCAGGUCAUCAUGAUUAGCAUAAGUGUAACAAUACCAUAUAAGGAAGUUCUCAUAUCCAAAUGUUAUAUUUAAAUACUAGAGACUUCUGUGAAGGGUAGGACCUUUACAGAAAUGAAACAUCAAACAAGAAAGAUUUUGAAUCUGUCUUUGUAGAGUGGAUAGGUUUUCAAAGGUAGAAGAAAAGGAAUUAAUAGAUAACAAUUCUGGAAUACGAGAUUAACCCAUGUUGCUUUUCUUUUACAUUGAAAAAAGAAA
Molecule: non-coding RNA, 318 nt
Organism: Ictidomys tridecemlineatus (thirteen-lined ground squirrel)
Lineage: Eukaryota; Metazoa; Chordata; Mammalia; Rodentia; Sciuridae
Source: RefSeq, a predicted model, not a curated record